GCUCCAGACUCCUACGGGAGGCAGCAGUGAGGAAUAUUGGUCAAUGGGCGGAAGCCUGAACCAGCCAAGUCGCGUGAGGGAAUAAGGCCCUACGGGUCGUAAACCUCUUUUGCCGGGGAGCAAGGGCCGGGACGCGUCCCGGCCCGGAGAGUACCCGGAGAAAAAGCAUCGGCUAACUCCGUGCCAGCAGCCGCGGUAAUACGGAGGAUCCGAGCGUUAUCCGGAUUUAUUGGGUUUAAAGGGAGCGUAGGUGGAUCGUUAAGUCAGUUGUGAAAGUUUGCGGCUCAACCGUAAAAUUGCAGUUGAAACUAGCAGUCUUGAGUACAGUAGAGGUGGGCGGAAUUCGUGGUGUAGCGGUGAAAUGCUUAGAUAUCACGAAGAACUCCGAUUGCGAAGGCAGUUCACUGGACUGCAACUGACACUGAGGCUCGAAAGUGUGGGUAUCAAACAGGAUUAGAUACCCCGGUAGUC
Molecule: ribosomal RNA, 471 nt
Filed under: uncultured bacterium
Lineage: Bacteria
Description: bacterial SSU rRNA
Rfam family: Bacterial small subunit ribosomal RNA
Source: RNAcentral